UAGUAAAUAAACAACUUACACAUGCAUGGAAAUGUUUUUAAUGUCAUUUUCAAUUUUCUCUGCAAAGUCCAUCAUCAAUGGACAAAAAAAAAAUCACAGUGGCUUGACACUUUUUCCAAGUGUUCCAUAAAGAAAAUGCCUGUGCCAUUGUUCAUUGAAGAUCAGGAACAAAUUGAUAUUAUCUCCACUCACCUGACUUCAAUUCUGAACAGUACACCCACACACACCCACAGUGACCAGAUCAGAUUUAUUAUGGAUGUCCUUUUUCCAGAGGCUGAGGAGAAAUUCCUGCGAGGACCUGUCAUUGACGCAAGCUACUUGAGCGGGAGCACUUUGACAGCAGAAUAAAAAAACAAUAAAAGAAGAGAGGCAAGCCAUAGGAGAGUCUACAGGAGUCAUGCUGUUAAGAAAUAAAAGUCAUGGUGUUAAUAAAAAUUUUUGUGAACAACAAUAUUGUCUCUUUCUUUUAAAGGACCCUUGGAAUUUUAGAAAAGGGUUAAAUUGUGUUUGUCUUCAUAAAAUGCUAUGUAGGACAUGUUUUGUAGCUGUAUGACGACCAAUUGUGAAUUGUACAGCAGAUAUUUCAUUUAGGAUGCAAAUGAUUACACAGUACUGUA
Molecule: long non-coding RNA, 617 nt
Organism: Carassius auratus (goldfish)
Lineage: Eukaryota; Metazoa; Chordata; Actinopteri; Cypriniformes; Cyprinidae
Exons: 3
Source: RefSeq, a predicted model, not a curated record